This 928-nucleotide ribosomal RNA is filed under the name uncultured archaeon. RNAcentral describes it as "bacterial SSU rRNA". It matches the Rfam family "Archaeal small subunit ribosomal RNA", at positions 1 to 937 of the family's 1478-position model. The record is from RNAcentral.
UUCCGGUUGAUCCUGCCGGAGGUCACCGCUAUUGGGAUUCGAUUAAGCCAUGCGAGUCGCGAGGGUUCGGCCCUCGGCUGACGGCUCAGUAACACGUGGACAAUCUGCCCUUAGGUGGAGGAUAACCUCGGGAAACUGAGAAUAAGACUCCAUAGAUCUAGGAUGCUGGAAUGCACUUAGCUUAAAAACUUCGGUGCCUAAGGAUGAGUCCGCGGACUAUCAGGUAGUAGUUAGGGUAAAGACCUGACUAGCCUACGACGGAUAUGGGUUGUGAGAGCAAUAACCCAGAGAUGAUAUCUGAGACACGAUAUCAGGCCCUACGGGGCGCAGCAGGCGCGAAAACUUUGCACUGUGCGAAAGCACGACAGGGGAAUCCCAAGUGUUGGCUCUUCUUGAGUCAUCUGUUUCUCUGUCUAAAAAACUGAGAGAGUAAGGGCUGGGUAAGACGGGUGCCAGCCGCCGCGGUAAUACCUGCAGCCCAAGUGGUGAUCGUUAUUAUUGGGCCUAAAACGUCCGUAGCCGGUUUAGUAAAUGCCUAGGUAAAUUGUACGGCUUAACCGUACGAAUUCUGGGUAGACUGCUAGACUCGGAACCGGGAGAAGCUAGAGGUACUCCGGGGGUAGAGGUGAAAUUCUGUAAUCCUCGGGGGACGACCAGUGGCGAAGGCGUCUAGCUAGAACGGGUUUGACGGUGAGGGACGAAGCCCUGGGGCGCAAACGGGAUUAGAUACCCCGGUAGUCCAGGGUGUAAACGCUGCUCGCUUGAUGUUAGUCGGGCUCCGAGCCCGAUUAGUGUCGGAGAGAAGUUGUUAAGCGAGCUGCCUGGGGAGCACGGUCGCAAGACUGAAACUUAAAGGAAUUGGCGGGGGAGCACCGCAACAGGAGGAGCGUGCGGUUUAAUUGGAUUCAACGCCGGGAAGGGCGAAUUC